This 289-nucleotide long non-coding RNA is filed under the name Mytilus galloprovincialis (Mediterranean mussel). Lineage: Eukaryota; Metazoa; Mollusca; Bivalvia; Mytilida; Mytilidae. The record is from RNAcentral.
AGGGAGCUACCAUUUGAUUUUUAUGGGGGGGGGGGCUAGGAUGAAAUUUGAAAAAAAUAGGCAGGACAGGAGUUUCGAGUAAAAAAAAAAGUCAGGAUGAGAAACUUGUUAAAAAAAAGGCAGGAUGACAAUUUGUGUAAAAAAAGUCAGGAUAAACUAGUAAAAAAAAAAGGCAGGACCGAAUAGAGUAAAAAAUAAAAAGGCAGGACAGAGAUUACAACUAAAAAAAAAAGCAGGACAAAAUUUUUCAUCCUAGCCCCCCAUAAAAAUCAAAUGGUAGCUCCCUAAC